AUGGCAAAAUUUUGGUGGAGUGGCUCCCUUGACAGAAGGUCUUUGCAUUGGUUGUCCUGGGAUAAACUUGCAUCUCCUAAGGCCUGUGGUGGCAUGGGCUUUCGUGAUCUACACCUCUUCAAUGUGGCUUUGUUGGGAAAACAUGGUUGGAGAUUCAUAACUAAUCCCAACUCACUAUGUGCAAGAGUCAUGAAAGGACGUUAUUUCCCUGACAGUGAUUUCAUGGAAGCCACCAUACCGCAAUCUGCUUCAGCGAUUUGGCGUGCUAUAGUGGCCGGACGAGAAGCUCUUCAGUUGGGCUUGAUCAAAAGAAUCGGUGACGGGACUACUAUUUCCAUCUGGAAUGAUAAGUGGAUACCGGGCACCCCCUCGCUUACUCCUAGGGUGAUGCCAGGAGGAACAACAUUGGGAUUUGUCAAUCAGCUCAUAGAUACUGACAAUUGGACUUGGCGAUCUCAGCUGGUUCGUGAUGUUUUCAUCUCACCCGAUGCGGAUGCAAUCUUAAAUAUUCCUUUACACAAUGGGGGGGGGUGA
RNAcentral lists this ribosomal RNA (534 nucleotides) under Triticum aestivum (bread wheat). RNAcentral's name for it is "partial small subunit ribosomal RNA". The record is from RNAcentral. Lineage: Eukaryota; Viridiplantae; Streptophyta; Magnoliopsida; Poales; Poaceae.